RNAcentral lists this long non-coding RNA (7952 nucleotides) under Lactuca sativa (garden lettuce). Its description in RNAcentral is "long non-coding RNA (LSAT_LNC003481)". Lineage: Eukaryota; Viridiplantae; Streptophyta; Magnoliopsida; Asterales; Asteraceae. The record is from RNAcentral.
CCUCACAAAAGCUUCACAACCCCAAAUCUUGAUGUGGUCCAAAUUGGGCACUUUCCCAGUCCACAUCUCGUGAGGUGUUUUGGCAACCUUUUUAGUAGGGACUAGAUUAAGGAUAUGGGCGGCAGUCUCUAAGGCAUACCCCCAGAAAGAGAUUGGUAACGAAGCUCGACUCAUCAUGGAACGAACCAUAUCCAACAAGGUUCGAUUGCGCCUCUCAGCUACACCAUUCAACUGUGGUGUCCUGGGAGGUGUCAAUUGUGAGACAAUCCCACAUUCCUUAAGAUAGUCAAGGAACUCAAUGCUAAGAUACUCUCCUCCCCGAUCGGAUCGGAGCAUCUUGAUGUUCCUGCCCAAUUGAUUCUCAACUUCCUGCUUAAACUCUUUGAACUUUUCAAAGGUUUCUGACUUAUGCUUGAUUAAGUAAAUAUAUCCAUAUCUACUGUAAUCAUCAGUAAAAGUCACAUAAUAACGAUUAGCAUCCCUUGUAGCAACUCUGAAGGGCCCACACACAUCCGUGUGUACAAGGUCCAACAAACCUUCACCCCUAUCACAAGUACCUGUGAAGGGCGACUUUGUCAUUUUUCCAAGUAAACAAGACUCGCAACUAUCAUCUGACUUGAGGUCAAAUGAUUCCAAGACUCCAGCCUUUUGGAGUUGGCCUAUGCGCUUCUUGCUAACAUGUCCAAGACGACAAUGCCACAAGGAUGCUUUAUCCAAGCUAUCAGAAGAAUCAAUAUACAACACAUUAUUUCCUAGAUUGUCUACAACAUUCACGGCUUCAUAUACACCAUCACAAGGUAUUGCUUUAAAGUAAAAUACAUCAUUGUAAUAAACAUUAAUAGCACCAUUUUUAUUAUCAAAUGAAAAUGUAAAACCUUGUUUGUACAAGCCAUGAAAAGAAAUAAUAUUUCUCGCCAUUUCGGGCGAGUAACAACACUUAUUCAAAUCUAACAUUAACCCAUUAUUAAGCAAUAAAGAAUAAACUCCUAUCUUGGUAACAGGUGAUGCUUUCCUGUUGCCCAUGACUAAGUUUAUCUUCCCGUGCUCCACUUGCUCACUUCUUCUUAGUGCCUGCAAAUCAGUACAAAUGUGAAUACCACACCCUGUAUCAAGCACCCAAGAAUUAGCAUUAGAUGAGUUGUUAGACAAUAUUGUGUAAAUACCUGCAUGGGUGGGUUUAACCUUCCCAUCCUUUACAUCUUGCAGAUAUUUGGCGCAGCUUCGCUUGAAGUGUCCCUUAUCUUGGCAAUAGAAGCACUGUGCUUCCUUUGGGUUCGAAGAAGGAGUAAUGGGACCUUUCUUUGUCCCACUUGAAGAGGAACCAUCAAGAGUCUUACCCUUGGUACCCUUUGAAGGGCUUUUCCUCUUCUUACCCUUCCCUUGCCCAAUUGCAAGAACAGGGGCUGUUAAAGGAGUAGAAGUAGCAACCGCUUUACCCUUAAGGCCAUUUUCAGCUGUCCUUAAGAGUCCUUGAAGUUUGCUAAGUGUGACUUCCUCCUUGUUCAUAUGAUAAGUCAUACGAAACUGAUCAUAACUUGGAGGUAAGGAAUGGAGAAUGAUGUCAAUCGCCAAUUCCUCAGGGAAGUCAACAUUGAGCUUUAGCAACCGGUCAACGAACCUCUGCAUCUUCUGCAAGUGACCGGUGAUGGGUUCACCAUCCUUCAUCCUUGCGGUUAUCAUGGAGGAAAUGAUUUCAUACCUCUCUUGACGCGCGCUCUGAUGGUACCUUUCCAUCAGAUCUAGGUGCAUCUCAUAGGGGUAGAAAUCUUCAUAAGAUUUUUGGAGUUCCGGAGUCAUUGUGGCCAUCAUGAUGCAGGACACCUUGGUGGCAUCCUUCUCAUGCGCAAUGAACUCCGCAAGCUCUUCUGGAGUAGCAGUGGCUUCAUUAACAACCUUAAGCUCCCUAUCAAGGACAUAUUCUUUGUCCUCAUAGCGGGUAAUCAUCCUGAUGUUUCUGAUCCACUCAUUAAAGUUGGAUCCAUCAAAGAUGACCUUACCACACAAGUUCAUUAGGGAAAAGGAGCCUGUAGGGUUUGAGCCAGCAGCGUUAUUGGAAGACAUCUGGAAUAAAAGGAAGAUAAGUUUCAUUAGAUUAAGAGUCCUUAAUAAGUCACCCAAAUGAAAUAUUAAGGCUAGGAUCCAACAAACUAUUUAUAGGUGGAAGAGGGAUGCCGUAAUCCACACUAUAAAAUAUUUGAAGGUAGGUAAAUGACGAUUUACCAAUUUCCACCAUAAGACGAAAUAUUUUAUUAUUAGGUUUUAUUGGUUUUGAAACUCCUAGAUCUUUUGAGAUACAUUGAACUUUUCAAUGGCAUGUUUGAAUCUCGAAUGUGCCCUCUCAAGUUUGUGACUGGGAUGCCGAGGAUCACAAACAAGGUGUGAAUAACCAUACAAAUUGACUUGGUACCCUUAACAAUAUUACCUAAUCGAUGUGCCGGUUAACCACACACGCUCCACCGAUCUAUAAUAAAGUCAAGUUACCCUUUGCCACUCUUACUAGUCCAUGUUAGUGUGUCGGUUAACCACACACGCUCCACUAACGACUUGGUAAGGUACAAAGUGUAAUUUUAUGGGCUAGCACCAAUUUCACAUUUUCCUAAAGUAACUAAGAUUGGGAAUUUAUAAUGUAUAGUUACUUUAUAAUUCAUUAUACUUUUAAUGAGAAUUUAAAGUCAUAUCCUACCCGUUCGGCUAACGACCCUCCACCGAUCAAGGAAGCGGUGGGUGAGAGUGGACACCCAUUAAGUCACCAUUUUAUAGGCAACAACCUUAUACCCCCCUUAUAGACCGGCUUCGUGAAUGAGGCCUACUAACGGUAAGAACGACAUAUUCUUAUACAUAUCUAUAUAAUAAAAUUAUAAUAAUAGUAUAAGUGUUGAUUUUUAAACUUUUUAAAAAUCUAAGGUUUAAUUUGGAAUUAAAGUAUUAGAGUGUAAGACUUUUCAAAUUCCAAAACUUGAGGGCAAGAAUUGAAACUAUUCCAAGUCUCUUCAAUUUGUAACUUAUGAGUUUUAAUGGUUCAUAAAAAUGAAGACUCUUCAUUUUAUGAAACCUCUUUAGUUCUUUAAUCACAAUUUAAAGAAGUGACUUUUGGUUAUCCAUAACUUGAGGACAAGUUAUGGACACCAUCAUUGCCAUUAAGAUCAUGAAUUAAACACACAUGGAGGUUACACAUAAUUCCUAUGAUCUUCUAAAAACUCAUAAGAACACAAAUUCAUGUCAAGCAAUUUCAAGAAAUCAUAUAAACAUAUAUAAUACUUGAAAAUUGAUAAAAGUCAUGCAAAAUGGGUUAACAUAAUCAUUAUCACUUUGAAAAACAGAUUUUACAAGUCCAAAACAGAUUGGGAUAAUGAUUUUAAUCCAUUUCCAGCAACAAAACACGAAAAAACUGCCCAGCACGCACCUACUCGUCGAGUGCAUGAUCCUACUCGACGAGUAGGAUGAAUUUGUACAUGGACUCGGCGAGUCCUCCCCAUGAACUCGGCGAGUCUAGUCGACAGUGAGCAGUUUUUUCGAUUUUCAAGCAGUUUUGCAUCAAGUAUACAGAAAACAAUCCUAGGCUCUGAUACCACUGAUGGGUUUUGAGCAUUCUAACACUUCCUAAGUGUACAUGCAACCCUAAUAACCUUGAAUCUAUGUUUUCUCUAUAUACAUGCAAAUUUCUUUUUCAAGGUUAUUUCCUAACUAGCAUGGCAUGGGGAAUAUAUAAAACAUAAAAACUAGUAGAAAUACAUACCUUGUUGUUGCUUGGAUUCCUUCAAGACUUUGUGAGCCUAGCACCCCAAAUGUUGUGCCUCAAAUGCUUCACACAACACCACAAAACUUGGAAUAACUUGAGAGAAUACUUCUAGCACUCAAAAUCGGUUAUGCCCUCUCUAGUAACCUUACUAGGUCCGAUUUCACUAGCCAAAGGGUCCCUUUUAUAGUGGUGUCACAAUUAGGGUUUUCACAUGAAUACUCUUAAUUGUCAUGACUCUUCAUUUCUCAUGACCCAUGGGUUUGUAACUCCCAUGGACUAUCCAUGGAGCUCCAAAUGGUUACAUCCAUAACCCAUAAACCAUGGAUCAUUAAUCCACCAUAAAAGAAUUGAUGAUUGUCAUAAUCAACCCUAUAUAUUUAAUUAGUCUCACUUUGAUCACCAAAUUAAUACUAGAUUAAUACUUGAUCAAUACUAAUUAAAUAAUACUAUUAUUAAUAUAUUAGAACUUAUAAUAUAUUAAUAAUCAUAAGUGCCAUAUUCUCUCAUUUAGUCUAUCCAAGUAUUGCAAUGCCAUGCAACCCAAAUGGACCAUGCCGGGUCGGGUCAAGUACAUACCAAAUAAAGUUAUGGACUUAGACACUAUAUCCAACAGUCUCCCACUUGGAUAAGUCUAAUAACUAUAUUUGCAAAUAUGACUUCAAAAUCCGACUAGCAAUCGUAGCUCUUUCAAAGUCUCUCGGAACUGAGAUGAUGAUGAUACGCCAUUUAAGAUAAGUGAUCAUAUAAUCCUCUGCUCUCAUGAUAUCAGCCGGACAAACACAUGGAACAUGGUCUUACUUAUUGUCCAGCAUUUGUUUCUCGAUCUCCGAUUUGUUUCGACAUAGAACUAAAUUGAACACAUCAAUUAGGUUCUGACCGGGCCCGGUACAUAGGUCAAAACCAAAUCAUCGAGGGGCCCAGAUAUCGCUUCUAUUUCUAGAAGGAACAGAUAAACUUCGACUGAUAUGCUUGUACUAACUACUUGUUGAAUUACUCACAAAGGCACGUUUUAUAACAUCGAGUUACCAAUGCGUUUUCGUACAAUCAAUGAAUAACCAACUCAUAGUCAACAACUCAUAUCUCUAGGUUUGAAGAUUUAUAUGAUAUUACCGUCUCACGAUCACUCGAGAUAAAUUCCAUGAAGUGAUGCAAGUGAGCGUGGGUUGAAUCCAAUACUCAGCCCUUAUGAGUACUCAUGAAUGUUGUAGCAACCAUUGCAUUGUCUAAAGCACUUUAGACAAAUCAUACAAGCCAAAUUCAUGACAGUCUUGAAUCAAUACUUACUUCCAAAGUUUGACCGACUGUGGAUGGUUUGAAUAAUAACAUGAUUAUUCUGGAAGUAAAAACAUGCAAAAUUGAAACAUAGUAAACAAUCAACACAAGAUAGUAACACCUUACUCAUAAAUAAAUAACAACUUUUAUUUAUCAUCAAAUGUCAAUUACAUUUUACAAGUUUCAGGAAUCUAAUUAUUGAAACUAAUAUCAUCCUUCAGCCCAAUGCGCCUUGCAUGCUGUAAAUGCUUAACCCUGCUCAGUCCCUUCGUGAGGGGAUCUGCCGGGUUCUCAUCUGAUGAUACCCUCUUUGCCACGAGGAGUCCUUCUUCUAUUCUAUGUCUGAUGAAAUGGUAUUUUCUGUCAAUGUGCCUAGAUCUCCCGUGAUCUCUUGGUUCUUUAGCCAAAGCAACCGCACUUUCACUGUCACAGAAAAUUUCCAUUGGCUCCUUUAUAGCUGGUACAACUCCAAGGUCUCCGAUGAAGUUCUUUAGCCAUAUCGCCUCUUUUGCUGCCUCGCUUGCUGCUAUGUACUCUGAUUCACAAGUCGAAUCAGCUACUGUCUCCUGCUUGGAACUUUUCCAAGUAAUUGCUCCUCCAUUUAGGAUAAAGACCCAGCCUGACUGAGAGCGGAAAUUAUCCCUAUCAGUUUGAAAGCUAGCAUCACUAUAUCCUUCCACUCUCAAGUCAUCACUGCCUCCGAGGGUAAGGACCCAGUCCUUAGUCCUCCGCAAAUACUUGAGAAUGUUCUUUACCGCUGUCCAGUGUGCCUUGCCAGGGUUCCCUUGAUAUCUACUGACCAUGCUCAAAGCAAAGGCCACAUCAGGGCGAGUACAAGUCAUAGCAUACAUGAUCGAGCCCACAGCGGAAGCAUAUGGUAUCUGACUCAUCUCAGCUAUCUCAGCCUCUGUACUCGGACUCUGAGUCUUACUUAGCUUGGCAUUACUCUGGAUUGGUAAUUCUCCUUUCUUGGAAUCUUGCAUACUGAACCUCUUCAGUACCUUAUCCACAUAAGUACUUUGACUAAGUCCAAUUAGUCUCUUACUCCUAUCUCUCAAUAUCCUUAUCCCUAGGAUAUAGGCAGCUUCCCCAAGGUCCUUCAUAGCAAAACACUUCCCAAGCCAGGCCUUAACCUCCUGCAAAGUUGGGAUGUCGUUUCCUAUGAGAAGUAUGUCAUCCACAUACAACACCAAGAAGCUAACUAUGCUCCCACUAGCCCUGACAUACACACAAGACUCAUCCUCACUCCUAGAAAAGCCAAACUCUUUGACUUUCUCAUCAAAGCAAAGAUUCCACCUGCGAGAUGCUUGUUUCAAUCCAUAAAUGGAUUUUUCAAGCUUACACACUCUAUUAGGGUAUUUUGGAUCGACAAAACCCUCUGGCUGAGCCAUGUAAACAUCCUCAGCCAACUUCCCAUUAAGGAAAGCGGUUUUGACAUCCAUUUGCCAUAUUUCAUAGUCAUGAAAUGCAGCUAUGGCUAACAACACUCUAAUAGACUUAAUCUUAGCUACUGGUGAGAAGGUCUCAUCAUAGUCAACUCCCGGAGUUUGAGUAAAGCCCUUCGCAACCAGUCGCGCUUUAUAAGUGUGUACUUUCCCAUCCAUGUCGGUCUUCUUCUUGAAGAUCCAUUUGCACCCAACUGUCUUACGACCUGGUACAUUGUCAACCAAGUUCCAAACUUGAUUGUCAUACAUGGACUGAAUCUCGCUGUCCAUAGCCUCCUUCCAUUUCGCAGACUCAGGGCCUGCCAUGGCUUCCUUAUAAUUAUUAGGUUCAUCCAAAUCUAUCAGUGUACUAUCACUGAUAAAUGUAUCACCUUCAGUGGUGAUGUGAUAACCAUAAUAAAAUUCAGGUGUGUUCCUCACCCUAGUGGAACGUCUUGGAGGUACAGACUCAUCUAUCGGCUCAACAGGAGUUUCCUCCUCAGGUUGGCUGACAGCAUUUGAGGUUCCUUCACCACUUGACUCUUGAAGCUCUUCAAGGUCAAUUUGCCUCCCACUGUCCCCUUGGCUUAUGAAUUCUCUCUCACGAAAGACUCCUCUUCUUGCUACAAAGACCACAUUAUCACUGGGUCUGUAGAAGAGGUAACCAAAGGAUCUCUGUGGGUAGCCGAUGAAAAUACACCUCUCGCUUCGGGGCUCAAGCUUGUCAUGAGUCUCACGCCUCACAAAAGCUUCACAACCCCAAAUCUUGAUGUGGUCCAAAUUGGGCACUUUCCCAGUCCACAUCUCGUGAGGUGUUUUGGCAACCUUUUUAGUAGGGACUAGAUUAAGGAUAUGGGCGGCAGUCUCUAAGGCAUACCCCCAGAAAGAGAUUGGUAACGAAGCUCGACUCAUCAUGGAACGAACCAUAUCCAACAGGGUUCGAUUGCGCCUCUCAGCUACACCAUUCAACUGUGGUGUCCUGGGAGGUGUCAAUUGUGAGACAAUCCCACAUUCCUUAAGAUAGUCAAGGAACUCAAUGCUAAGAUACUCUCCUCCCCGAUCGGAUUGGAGCAUCUUGAUGUUCCUGCCCAAUUGAUUCUCAACUUCCUGCUUAAACUCUUUGAACUUUUCAAAGGUUUCUGACUUAUGCUUGAUUAAGUAAAUAUAUCCAUAUCUACUGUAAUCAUCAGUAAAAGUCACAUAAUAACGAUUAGCAUCCCUUGUAGCAUCUCUAAGGGCCCACACACAUCCGUGUGUACAAGGUCCAACAAACCUUCACCCCUAUCACAAGUACCGGUGAAGGGUGACUUUGUCAUUUUUCCAAGUAAACAAGACUCGCAACUAUCAUCUGACUUGAGGUCAAAUGAUUCCAAGACUCCAGCCUUUUGGAGUUGGCCUAUGCGCUUCUUGUUAACAUGUCCAAGACGACAAUGCCACAAGGAUGCUUUAUCCAAGCUAUCAGAAGAAUCAAUAUACAACACAUUAUUUCCUAAAUUGUCUACAACAUUCACAGCUUC